GGACACCGGCCCUCCAGGACCGAGUUUGGGCAGCCCUGAUUUAGAACAACAUGGCAAGAUUCCCAGCUGUCUGAGAAAACCCCAAAUAGGAUUCAAACAUUUUUAAUGACUCUUUAUUAUUUUCCAAACCAUUUUUUGCUCAUUUUUUUCUGUUGUUCAGUCUUUUGCUGUCUUGUUCAAAAAUGGCAUUAUAUGUGUUUUAUAGUUGUACAAAGGACAUUUUAAUACAAUGUAAGUAUACACCAUUAAAGUAUAACUGGCCCCAGCUUGGCCCCAUAUGAUAUUAAUAUAACUUGUAAAAGGGAUGAAUAAAUAAAAGUGCUGUGUGAGCAUGUUCAUCUCUGACUUCCCCUCUGGUCUGUGUGGUCGAGGUUUCAUCUAAAGCUCAGUGAUGUUUCCGCUCACAGUACGAGAUGUUUGUAUGAUCACAGUAUAGAAGAUAUUCAUCUGGAUCAGACGAUGAAGAUCAUCCAGCUCCAGAUCUAUCUGUUCAUGUGGUCUCAAGCCACAGAGAGUCUAACAAACACAGCAGUAACUUUAGGAGCUGAUGUGAAUAUAAGCUGUGAUCUUGAUAUAGAGGAGAUUUACUGGUACAGACAGAAGUCACCGGAUCCUCCAGUGUUCAUCUUACGCACUUUUGAUAGCACAUACGAAGAAGAAAUAUCACCACUGAUGAAUUAGGAGUUUAUUAUUGUGUGAAAACUAGUGAACCACUCAAAUUCAGCAACGGCACCAACAUCUACA
This is a long non-coding RNA of Sinocyclocheilus anshuiensis, 744 nucleotides long. RefSeq lists it as uncharacterized. The transcript is spliced from 3 exons. Lineage: Eukaryota; Metazoa; Chordata; Actinopteri; Cypriniformes; Cyprinidae. The record is from RefSeq and is a predicted model, not a curated record.